Equus quagga is the source of this 965-nucleotide long non-coding RNA. RefSeq lists it as uncharacterized. The record is from RefSeq and is a predicted model, not a curated record. NCBI's taxonomy places the organism in Eukaryota, Metazoa, Chordata, Mammalia, Perissodactyla, Equidae. The transcript has 4 exons.
AGUCACAUAUCACUGAUGCCACAAUUAAUUGUGUCUUAAUGGAAGAGUAGAAAUUCCCUAGUCAGAGAAGGGGAGGGAGAGGCAUCCCCGGUCACACAAAUGCGGCUCAAGGACAGAGCAGUGUGACAGAGUGGCGUGUUUGGCAGACACCAUUUCAGUGCAGGUUAAAAGCAAAACGUGCAGGUGGUGAGAAUCUUCUUGGAGGAAGAAAUGUUCAAGGCUAGCUGACUGCAGAUCCGGGAAAGCUGGACGUGUUUAUAUCCGGGUUCUGCGGUUAGUGGCGAAGCUUGGACGGAGUUCGCCAGAACAGUGAUGUGACUGUUCUAUGAUUCGAGACAGGUGGUGAUUGUGUGCAAGACGGAUAAACAGGAAACAGAGAUGUCGGAGUGACCAACAGCUAAUCCCUGCAGACUGCAUUUACCCAGCUGACUUUUGGUUGUGUUCAGCCAAUAUAAGGCACGUGCAGGAGACUGAAGGAUGGGAGAAAGAUGCCAAGGUUCAUCUCUAUGACGAAGAGACAAAGAAAUCAAGGAACCAUUGAGCAAGAUUGACCAACAUGGCCCCACCAGCGUGAUUGCUCGGCUGACUGGAAUAGGAUGACCUUGGAAGCCAUAUUUUUAAGUUGGCAGAAUUCUGCAGCCUGGAUUUCGAAGCAACUAGGUGGAGUGGAGCUGCUUUCCCAAACUACUCAUUACUGUACUCGGAAGAAAUACACUUUCAGUAUUUUUGAGUAAUACGUUUUGGACCUAACUUUCAUACCAGUAAUGGAUCUCUCUUAACUCAUACCAAAGAGAGGGCUCAUGAGUUGAGAAAUCAUCCCGGAAGAUUUCUAUACACUCCAACGCUGUGCAGAGAGAGACAGGAAUCACAGAACUAGAAAGAAGUAACAAUCAUAAAAUUUCCUUGAAUCUACCUAUUUAAUCUCAAAUACUUGUUUUUCCAUAUCUAUACAAUGACUUUGUACA